GUGCUAAGGUAGCAUAAUCAUUUGCUACUUAAUUGGUAGCUGGAAUGAAAGGUUAAACUAGCUUACUCAGCUUGUUGUGUUUUGUAAGAAAUUAAAGUCGAGGUAAGAAUUCUUUGAUCUGCUAGGGGACGAUAAGACCCUAGAAGCUUAAUAAUAAGAGUAUUUAUUAGUCAUAAAAAUUAAUUUGUUUUACUGGGGCGGUAAAGGCAUAUAAACUAUUAGUGUAUUGAUAGAUCCUUAAAAUAAAGAUAAAAAGGGAAAGUUACUCUAGGGGU
This 275-nucleotide ribosomal RNA is filed under the name Gammarus sp. lacustris-type PLSR08. RNAcentral's name for it is "partial 16S ribosomal RNA". Lineage: Eukaryota; Metazoa; Arthropoda; Malacostraca; Amphipoda; Gammaridae. The record is from RNAcentral.